UUAUUGGAGAGUUUGAUCCUGGCUCAGACGAACGCUGGCGGCGUGCCUGUCACAUGCAAAAGUCGAGCGGACCUUGUGUUUCCUUCGGGAGACGCCAGGUUAGCGGCGGACGGGUGAGUAACACGUAGGCAACCUGCCUGUAAGACCGGGAUAACUUGCGGAAACGUGAGCUAAUACCGGAUAGCUGGUUUCUUCGCAUGAAGAAGUCAUGAAAGACGGGGCAACCUGUCACUUACAGAUGAGCCUGCGGCGCAUUAGCUAGUUGGUAGGGUAACGGCUUACCAAGGCGACGCAUGCGUAGCCGACCUGAGAGGGUGAACGGCCACACUGGGACUGAGACACGGCCCAGAUCCUACGGGAGGCAGCAGUAGGGAAUCUUCCGCAAUGGACGAGUCUGACGGAGCAACGCCGCGUGAGUGAUGAAGGUUUUCGGAUCGUAAAGCUCUGUUGCCAAGGAAGAACGGCCAGGGAGUAACUGCCCCUGGAGGACGGUACUUGCGAAGAAAGCCCCCGCUAACUACGUGCCAGCAGCCGCGGUAAUACGUAGGGGGCAAGCGUUGUCCGGAAUUAUUGGGCGUGGCAAGCGGCGCAGGCGGUCUUUUAAGUCUGGUGUUUAAGCCCGGGGCUCAACCCCGGUUCGCACUGGAAACUGGGAGACUUUGGAGGUAGAGAGGAAAGGGAAUUCCACGUGGGUAGCGGUGAAAUGCGUAGAUGUGGAGGAACACCAGUGGCGGAAGGCGGCUUCGGGUCGGCAACUCACGCUGAGGCGCGAAAGGCAGGGAGCAAACAGGAUUAGAUACCCUGGUAGUCCACGCCGUAAACGAUGAAUGCUAGGUGUUAGGGGUUUCGAUACCCUUGGUGCCGUGAAGCAAUACAGUAAGCAUUCCGCCUGGGGAGUACGGUCGCAAGACUGAAAACUCAAAGGAAUUGACAACUGCACAAGUGGUGGAGGUAUGUGGUUUAAUUCGAAGCAACGCGAAGAAACCUUACCAGGCCUUGACAUCCCUCUGACCGGUUUAGAGACAGACCUUUUCCUUCGGGGACAGAGGUGGGAGACAGGUGGUGCAUGGUUGUCGUCAGCUCGUGUCGUGAGAUGUUGGGUUAAGUCCCGCACCAGCGCAACUCCUUGAUCUUAGUUGCCAGCACGGCGAGGUGGGCACUCUUAUGAUGACUGCCGGUGACAAACCGGAGGAAGGUGGGGAUGACGUCAACCAUCAUGCCCCUUAUGGCCUGGGCUACACACUCGCCCAAUGGUCGGUACAACGGGAAGCGAAGGAGCGAUCCGGAGCCAAUCCUCAAAAGCCGAUCUCAGCCUGGAUUGGUGCCGCAACUCGCCUGCAUGAAGUCGGAAUUGCUAGUAAUCGCGGAUCAGCAUGCCGCGGUGAAUACGUUCCCGGUCUUGUACACACCGCCCGUCACACCACGAGUUGGCGAACACCCGAAGUCGGUGAGGUAAACGGUGAAGCAGCCGCCGAAGGUGGGGUAGAUGAUUGGGGUGAAGUCGUAACAAGGUAGCCGUAUCGGAAGGUGCGGCUGGAUCACCUCUUUC
RNAcentral lists this ribosomal RNA (1549 nucleotides) under Paenibacillus larvae. RNAcentral describes it as "bacterial SSU rRNA". It matches the Rfam family "Bacterial small subunit ribosomal RNA". The record is from RNAcentral. Lineage: Bacteria; Bacillati; Bacillota; Bacilli; Caryophanales; Paenibacillaceae.